AUUGAACGCUGGCGGAAUGCUUUACACAUGCAAGUCGAACGGCAGCACGGACUUCGGUCUGGUGGCGAGUGGCGAACGGGUGAGUAACAUAUCGGAACGUAUCCAAUAAUGGGGGAUAACGAGUCGAAAGAUUCGCUAAUACCGCAUACGCCCUACGGGGGAAAGCUGGGGACCUUCGGGCCUGGCGUUAAUGGAGCGGCCGAUAUCUGAUUAGCUAGUUGGUGAGGUAAAGGCUCACAAAGGCGGCGAUCAGUAGCUGGUCUGAGAGGACGACCAGCCACACUGGAACUGAGACACGGUCCAGAAUCCUACGGGAGGCAGCAGUGGGGAAUUUUGGACAAUGGGCGCAAGCCUGAUCCAGCCAUUCCGCGUGAGUGAAGAAGGCCUUCGGGUUGUAAAGCUCUUUCGCAAGGGAAGAAAACUUAGCCACUAACAUUGGUUGAGGUUGACGGUACCUUGAUAAGAAGCACCGGCUAACUACGUGCCAGCCGCCGCAGUAA
RNAcentral lists this ribosomal RNA (500 nucleotides) under uncultured bacterium. RNAcentral describes it as "partial 16S ribosomal RNA". It matches the Rfam family "Bacterial small subunit ribosomal RNA", at positions 30 to 523 of the family's 1533-position model. The record is from RNAcentral.